GCCUCUUGUUGCCGUUGCUUCUGAAUCCUUGAAGUUCCAGCUUCUAGGACGGUUCCCAUGCACCUAGUAAGGUGCUCCACACUCAAUACUCACCACGAUAAGAGAAAAAUAGUGACUUCUGCCCCUUUGUCUUCAACAGCGAGAGACCUACAACUAAGCCCGUGCACUUUCCACUGAGCCACGCUGAUAUGGUGAUGGUUGGGCAGCUUGGGAGUUUUUUUCAGCAGCUGAUGAGUCCCUGGAGCUUUGGUGCUGCUCUCCAGUUCCCACUUUGGAGCUAU
This 281-nucleotide long non-coding RNA is filed under the name Ornithorhynchus anatinus (platypus). Its description in RNAcentral is "lncRNA (ENSOANG00000037829.1)". The record is from RNAcentral. Lineage: Eukaryota; Metazoa; Chordata; Mammalia; Monotremata; Ornithorhynchidae.